GAUGAAGAACGCAGUGAAAUGCGAUAAGUAAUGUGAAUUGCAGAAUUCAGUGAAUCAUCGAAUCUUUGAACGCACAUUGCGCCCCUUGGUAUUCCGGGGGGCAUGCCUGUUCGAGCGUCAUUUCAACCCUCAAGCUCAGCUUGGUAUUGAGUCCAUGUCAGUAAUGGCAGGCUCUAAAAUCAGUGGCGGCGCCGCUGGGUCCUGAACGUAGUAAUAUCUCUCGUUACAGGUUCUCGGUGUGCUUCUGCCAAAACCCAAAUUUUCUAUGGUUGACCUCGGAUCAGGUAGGGAUACCCGCUGAACUUAAGCAUAUCAAUAAGCGGAGA
This 326-nucleotide unclassified non-coding RNA is filed under the name soil metagenome. RNAcentral's name for it is "partial contains 5.8S ribosomal RNA, internal transcribed spacer 2, and large subunit ribosomal RNA". The stretch from base 1 to 120 matches the Rfam family "5.8S ribosomal RNA", at positions 35 to 154 of the family's 154-position model. The record is from RNAcentral.